RNAcentral lists this ribosomal RNA (253 nucleotides) under uncultured bacterium. RNAcentral's name for it is "partial 16S ribosomal RNA". It matches the Rfam family "Bacterial small subunit ribosomal RNA", at positions 524 to 776 of the family's 1533-position model. The record is from RNAcentral.
UACGUAGGGGGCAAGCGUUGUUCGGAAUUACUGGGCGUAAAGGGCUCGUAGGCGGCCAACUAAGUCGGACGUGAAAUCCCCAGGCUCAACCUGGGAACUGCGUCCGAUACUGGAUGGCUUGAAUCCGGGAGAGGGAUGCAGAAUUCCAGGUGUAGCGGUGAAAUGCGUAGAUAUCUGGAGGAACACCGGUGGCGAAGGCGGCAUCCUGGACCGACACUGACACUGAGGAGCGAAAGCCAGGGGAGCAAACGGG